This 495-nucleotide ribosomal RNA is filed under the name uncultured bacterium. RNAcentral describes it as "partial 16S ribosomal RNA". It matches the Rfam family "Bacterial small subunit ribosomal RNA", at positions 28 to 507 of the family's 1533-position model. The record is from RNAcentral.
GACGAACGCUGGCGGCGUGCCUAAUACAUGCAAGUAGAACGCUGAAGGAGGAGCUUGCUUCUCCGGAUGAGUUGCGAACGGGUGAGUAACGCGUAGGUAACCUGCCUGGUAGCGGGGGAUAACUAUUGGAGACGAUAGCUAAUACCGCAUAACAGUAGAUGUUGCAUGACAUUUGCUUAAAAGGUGCAAUUGCCUCACUACCAGAUGGACCUGCGUUGUAUUAGCUAGUUGGUGAGGUAACGGCUCACCAAGGCGACGAUACAUAGCCGACCUGAGAGGGUGAUCGGCCACACUGGGACUGAGACACGGCCCAGACUCCUACGGGAGGCAGCAGUAGGGAAUCUUCGGCAAUGGACGGAAGUCUGACCGAGCAACGCCGCGUGAGUGAAGAAGGUUUUCGGAUCGUAAAGCUCGGUUGUAAGAGAAGAAAGGGUGUGAGGGUGGAAAGUUCACACUGUGACGGUAUAUGACCAGAAAGGGACGGCUAACUACGUG